UCCAGAGCAGGGACCCACUGGCAACAUGAUAAGGAGACAAGUCCUCAACAGCAGCUAAAAGGAAAAGGGAGUGAAGGAAGAAAAUAACCAAUUUCAGGAGAGGUCUAGAGCUCUGCCUUCACCUUGGCAAUAGCUUUUUCCCUCACUCAGGCCAGAAUUACAAGGGAUGGCUGGGAUAUAGUUGCAAAUAAAGUGCAAGCAAUUCUUUAAAUCAUAAAACCCUAAGACAAGCAUCAAAUGCUGAUUUGUAUGGUGCUCUCUAGAGUCCUGCUUGCGAUAAAACGCUAUCCUAAGGUAUCUACAGUUGUAAACUUCCAUUUUAAGAUUCAUAACUCUACACAAGUUUAAUGGAAAUCAAUAGAUCCAGGAAUCCUAUAUUCUUCAUAAUUAGGAGAAAUGCCAGUCUUCAUCACAAUCCAGGGUGAGAUCUGUUUCAUCACGUGCCCCGACACUUUUCCACACACUGAAUAUGAGAGACAAAUAUCACCAUUUAUGCCUCACUGGGCAGGUGCAUUUUGCAGCUAAAUUAUAAAGAUAAAUGGAGCGGGUGGGACUCAGAACAGGGCUGUAGAAACAAGAGAUGAAAACAGAAGGGAGAGCAGAAGGAGAGGGGAGUCAGUGUUCAGUUCUGGAGGAAGUAAUCCAGAGAUACUUUGCAGCAUUCCGGUGUGAUCCAUACUUGUUUCUGGACAGCUUCUGACUGUAGUGUCUUCAUAGGCCUUAUUUAAAUGUGGCUCUUCAUGCCUGGCACCAGUCCAAGGCAACGAGCAUGGCCAUCACAAUUGUUUGUUGAAUCCUGGUUCUGGGACACAAUUUUAUAGAUGGUCCAUGUCUUGGGCUCAGAUUCUCCAGGAAGCAAACUGAGGUGGAGAUGAGCAUGUAGCUUAAUGUGUCAACAGCUGUGGGGCUGUAAAGGGAGUAGGAUUGGGCAGAGGGAGAAAAUGAAUGACAAAAGGCAUUAGUGGAUCCAGGAGGAGCUCUGGAGCUGGGAAGGUACUGCAGUGUUGUUCUGCUCUGAGGGAGGCAGGCCAGGCAUUUAGAUACUCACGGAUGUGGACCUAACCCUGGAGAGGGCAAGGGGGCUCUCUUCACCUGAAGGCUAUUCCUAGAAUCAGCUGAGAGUCAUCAACUGCCAACACUUCCAGAAGCAGGAGGAACUGGUGACUUAGUCCUGGAGGGGCCUGCACAGCACACCCCCAAAGAAAGAACUCUGCCAUCUUCCCUACCCUACCUACCACUACUGGCAUAGGAAUGGAGCAUGAGAGACCAAAUCUCCAGAAGGAAGAGAAAAAGACCUUCUGCCUCCAAUGUCUUCGUUCCUUGACCACUGUCCUCAUGGCCAGGCUCAGCUCAAAACUCAAACCUGACCUCCAUGAAGACUUCCUUCCUCAUGUUGAUUUUCUUACUCUGCAUUAACGUGAGAGUUCUACAUACGGAACUUAGUAUUUUUGUUUAAACAUUGUUUUAGAGUUGUUCAGUAAGUAUGCCUUUCCCUUCAACUAGCUGGCAUGAAACAUUAAAGAUGGCUGCAAUUUCUUUUGUA
This is a long non-coding RNA of Symphalangus syndactylus (siamang), 1543 nucleotides long. RefSeq lists it as uncharacterized. The record is from RefSeq and is a predicted model, not a curated record. Lineage: Eukaryota; Metazoa; Chordata; Mammalia; Primates; Hylobatidae.